Molecule: long non-coding RNA, 734 nt
Filed under: Homo sapiens (human)
Lineage: Eukaryota; Metazoa; Chordata; Mammalia; Primates; Hominidae
Description: HSALNT0252174
Source: RNAcentral
UUUUCACUUGACCUCCUGUGCCUGUUAGUUCCCAUGCAGUUCUGAAUUGGUCUUUUGAGCUUUUAGCUAUCGCCAAAGCCUCUGACUGUUCUUCUCUCAAGGCACUUCACUGGGCCUGACUGCAGAAGCACUGCCUGGAGGUGUAGGAAACAUCUCACAAAAAUGGAGCUGAAGGCCAUGGUCUCGGAUGAAAGAGGACAGAGCUCAAAAUAGGUGGCACCAUUCCAUGAUCUGGCAGCUGGAGCAGCAGGAGGGGAGGGGCCAAGUGGAUGCCAGGAACCUGAUAGCCAAUGGAAAGGAAAGAUAAGGAGGACAGUUGGAACCGCAUGGGUGACAGAAGGUGACCUGGAGGGAAGGUGAGUAGGACAGAUGGUGGAGGUGGCAGACAGUGGGGUGAGAGGGGAGCUCCACAUCCAACCCUUCCCUGGCUGAUCACAUGUGGUCACUCCAAUCCAUUAGGGAGGGCGAACACUGUCUUGUGUUGAUUGUACAAGGAAUGGAGCUCAGUGUAUGAUGAUUCUCCUCUAUCGUACUUAUAGCAAAGACACCAGCAAUUUGCUAGUGGAUGUGAGGAUCUUACUCAACCCCGAACUGCACAAACAUGAUAAGAACACAGCAGAUACCUGCUGCUUAGGAGGGUGUCCAGAGGACUUUGGCAUCAUAGUCUGAGCUGAUGUUUAGCCAGGACACACACCAUAAAGGCCAUACUGAUUGUGUAUGGUCAUUGCCCAAAA